Molecule: long non-coding RNA, 1060 nt
Filed under: Felis catus (domestic cat)
Lineage: Eukaryota; Metazoa; Chordata; Mammalia; Carnivora; Felidae
Description: lncRNA (ENSFCAG00000047879.1)
Source: RNAcentral
ACUCUGGCCUCUUCUUCCCUGCUUGCAGAUCUCACUGGACCCACACACCCUGGGGUGGAAGGCAAAACUCCCAUCACAAGGAAGCGAAGGCCUAUUGACCAACGGGAGCUGUGGUUCAAAUCAAUGGCGUCAAACUACAAAGAGCUUGAAUGAAUAGUCAAGAAGCAUCCAAGAUUUGGGUUUUGAAAAACCCCCCACAUCAGGGGGCGGCAGAAUGAGGAACGGCCAUGGCUGCUCAGGGCAUCUUGAGCCGACACGUGUGAUGGACGGUCUACCUGGCUUCAACCUCCAAUCACCCUAUUGUACCAACCAGCUGUGUCACCCUCCCCUGGACGACCCCAGCACCGUCACAUGUGGUGAGCUCAGAACCCAGUGAGUGAGGUAGCAGGUGACCACCAGGAGGGGGCUGACAGGCCAGGACUGGCCCAGCCACUGCUCCUGGAGGGCUGAUCCCCUAGAUUCAACUGGAUGGGUGAGUUCCUGGCCCACGGUUGAACCCGUGAAUGGGCUCUCCUGCUCAUCAGUGACCUGUCUAGUCACAGAAUUUUGCUUGUCACCUUGCUGGGUUGGAAGCUAUCACGAACUCAUUUCUCACACUCUUGCCUCCUGAGCCAAAACCUCAGACCACUUCUCAAGCUCUUGUCUUUCCCAAAUCCAAGUUCACAAGCCUUCCGACCCCGGUAACACACGCGAUGUCCCACACCCCUGGAGACCAGCAGGAAUCUUCUCGUCUCUCUGCGAAUCAGGGACCCCACACUUUGGGUAGUCGAGGAAAAGGAGAGCUUAUACUUUCUAAAAUGCCAAAGGUUUCUUAAAAGUUAUCUCUGCCUCGGGGCACCUGGGUGGCUCAGUCGGUUGAACGUCCGACUUUGGCUCGGGUCAUGAUCUCACGGUUUGUGAGUUCGAACCCUACGUCGGGCUCUGUGCCGACAGCUCAGAGCCUGGAGCCUGCUUCGGAUUCUGUGUCUCCCUCUCUCUCUGCCCCUCCCCCGCUCAUGCUCUGUCUCUCUCUCUCUCUGUCAAAAAUAAAUAAAUAUUAAAAAAAUUUUUUAAAAAGUUC